This 458-nucleotide ribosomal RNA is filed under the name uncultured bacterium. RNAcentral's name for it is "partial 16S ribosomal RNA". It matches the Rfam family "Bacterial small subunit ribosomal RNA", at positions 338 to 795 of the family's 1533-position model. The record is from RNAcentral.
CCUACGGGGGGCAGCAGUGGGGAAUAUUGCACAAUGGGGGAAACCCUGAUGCAGCGACGCCGCGUGAGUGAAGAAGUAUUUCGGUAUGUAAAGCUCUAUCAGCAGGGAAGAAAUAGCGACCUUUGGGUCGCCAGACGGUACCUGACUAAGAAGCCCCGGCUAACUACGUGCCAGCAGCCGCGGUAACACGUAGGGGGCAAGCGUUAUCCGGAUUUACUGGGUGUAAAGGGAGCGUAGACGGCAGGACAAGUCUGAAGUGAAAUGCCGGGGCUUAACCCCGGAACUGCUUUGGAAACUGUGCAGCUAGAGUGCAGGAGAGGUAAGUGGAAGUCCUAGUGUAGCGGUGAAAUGCGUAGAGAUUAGGAAGAACACCAGUGGCGAAGGCGGCUUUCUGGACUGAAACUGACGCUGAGGCUCGAAAGCGUGGGGAGCAAACAGGAUUAGAUACCCGGGUAGUC